Molecule: ribosomal RNA, 1245 nt
Filed under: metagenome
Description: bacterial SSU rRNA
Rfam family: Bacterial small subunit ribosomal RNA
Source: RNAcentral
AUGGCUCACCUAGGCGACGAUACAUAGCCGACCUGAGAGGGUGAUCGGCCACACUGGGACUGAGACACGGCCCAGACUCCUACGGGAGGCAGCAGUAGGGAAUCUUCGGCAAUGGGGGCAACCCUGACCGAGCAACGCCGCGUGAGUGAAGAAGGUUUUCGGAUCGUAAAGCUCUGUUGUAAGUCAAGAACGGGUGUGAGAGUGGAAAGUUCACACUGUGACGGUAGCUUACCAGAAAGGGACGGCUAACUACGUGCCAGCAGCCGCGGUAAUACGUAGGUCCCGAGCGUUGUCCGGAUUUAUUGGGCGUAAAGCGAGCGCAGGCGGUUUGAUAAGUCUGAAGUUAAAGGCUGUGGCUCAACCAUAGUUCGCUUUGGAAACUGUCAAACUUGAGUGCAGAAGGGGAGAGUGGAAUUCCAUGUGUAGCGGUGAAAUGCGUAGAUAUAUGGAGGAACACCGGUGGCGAAAGCGGCUCUCUGGUCUGUAACUGACGCUGAGGCUCGAAAGCGUGGGGAGCGAACAGGAUUAGAUACCCUGGUAGUCCACGCCGUAAACGAUGAGUGCUAGGUGUUGGAUCCUUUCCGGGAUUCAGUGCCGCAGCUAACGCAUUAAGCACUCCGCCUGGGGAGUACGACCGCAAGGUUGAAACUCAAAGGAAUUGACGGGGGCCCGCACAAGCGGUGGAGCAUGUGGUUUAAUUCGAAGCAACGCGAAGAACCUUACCAGGUCUUGACAUCCCGAUGCUAUUUCUAGAGAUAGAAAGUUACUUCGGUACAUCGGUGACAGGUGGUGCAUGGUUGUCGUCAGCUCGUGUCGUGAGAUGCUGGGUUAAGUCCCGCAACGAGCGCAACCCCUAUUGUUAGUUGCCAUCAUUCAGUUGGGCACUCUAGCGAGACUGCCGGUAAUAAACCGGAGGAAGGUGGGGAUGACGUCAAAUCAUCAUGCCCCUUAUGACCUGGGCUACACACGUGCUACAAUGGUUGGUACAACGAGUUGCGAGUCGGUGACGGCGAGCUAAUCUCUUAAAGCCAAUCUCAGUUCGGAUUGUAGGCUGCAACUCGCCUACAUGAAGUCGGAAUCGCUAGUAAUCGCGGAUCAGCACGCCGCGGUGAAUACGUUCCCGGGCCUUGUACACACCGCCCGUCACACCACGAGAGUUUGUAACACCCGAAGUCGGUGAGGUAACCUUUUGGAGCCAGCCGCCUAAGGUGGGACAGAUGAUUGGGGUGAAGUCGUAACAAGGUA